RNAcentral lists this ribosomal RNA (750 nucleotides) under uncultured bacterium. Its description in RNAcentral is "bacterial SSU rRNA". It matches the Rfam family "Bacterial small subunit ribosomal RNA", at positions 41 to 792 of the family's 1533-position model. The record is from RNAcentral.
GGGAAGCCUAACAUGCAGUCGAGCNGAGCUUGACGAAUGAUUUCUUCGGAAUGAAAUCUGAUAUGACUGAGUGGCGGACGGGUGAGUAACGCGUGAGCAACCUGCCCUUCGGAGGGGGAUAGUGUCUGGAAACGGACAGUAAUACCGCAUAACGUAUUUUUACCGCAUGAUAGAAAUACCAAAACUGAGGUGCCGAAGGAUGGGCUCGCGUUGGAUUAGAUAGUUGGUGGGGUAACGGCCUACCAAGUCGACGAUCCAUAGCCGGACUGAGAGGUUGAACGGCCACAUUGGGACUGAGACACGGCCCAGACUCCUACGGGAGGCAGCAGUGGGGAAUAUUGCACAAUGGGGGAAACCCUGAUGCAGCAACGCCGCGUGAAGGAAGACGGUUUUCGGAUUGUAAACUUCUGUUCUUAGUGAAGAAUAAUGACGGUAGCUAAGGAGCAAGCCACGGCUAACUACGUGCCAGCAGCCGCGGUAAUACGUAGGUGGCAAGCGUUGUCCGGAAUUACUGGGUGUAAAGGGAGCGCAGGCGGGAAGCCAAGUCAGCUGUGAAAACUACGGGCUUAACUUGUAGACUGCAGUUGAAACUGGUUUUCUUGAGUGAAGUAGAGGUUGGCGGAAUUCCGAGUGUAGCGGUGAAAUGCGUAGAUAUUCGGAGGAACACCGGUGGCGAAGGCGGCCAACUGGGCUUUAACUGACGCUGAGGCUCGAAAGUGUGGGGAGCAAACAGGAUUAGAUACCCUGGUA